ACGGCUCAGUAACACGUGGCUAACCUGCCCUUGGGACGGGGACAACCCCGGGAAACUGGGGUUAAUCCCAGAUAGGUGAGAACUCCUGGAAUGGAUUUUCAUCGAAAAGGUGUUGAAGCAUGCUUUCAACGGCGUCCGAGGAUGGGACCGCGGCCGAUCAGGUUGUUGGUGAGGUAACGGCUCACCAAGCCUUUAACCGGUACGGGCCGUGAGAGCGGGAGCCCGGAGAUGGAAUCUGAGACAAAAUUCCAGGCCCUACGGGGCGCAGCAGUCGCGAAAACUCCGCAAUACGCGAAAGCGUGACGGGGCCAACCCGAGUGCCGUCCGCUGAGGAUGGCUUUUCCCCAGUGUAAUGAGCUGGAGGCAAUAAAAGGAGGGCAAGGAUGGUGUCAGCCGCCGCGGUAAAACCAACUCCUUGAGUGGUGAGGAUUAUUAUUGGGCUUAAAGCGUUCGUAGCUGGCCUGACUAGUCCCGCGUUAAAUCCAACGACCUAAUCGUUGGGCUGCGGGGGACACGGUCAGGCUUGGGGGCGGGAGAGGUUAGCGGUAUUCCCGGGGUAGGGGUAGAAUCUUAUAAUCCCGGGAGGACCACCAGUGGCGAAGGCUGCUAACCGGAACGCGCCCGACGGUGAGGGACGAAAGCUGGGGGAGCGAACCGGAUUAGAUACCCGGGUAGUCCCAGCCGUAAACGAUGCAGGCUAGCUGUUGGGAUGGCCACGAGCCAUUCCAGUGGCGCAGGGAAGCCGUUAAGCCUGCCGCCUGGGAAGUAAGAUCGCAAGAUUGAAACUUAAAGGAAUUGGCGGGGGAG
Molecule: ribosomal RNA, 807 nt
Filed under: uncultured archaeon
Lineage: Archaea
Description: bacterial SSU rRNA
Rfam family: Archaeal small subunit ribosomal RNA
Source: RNAcentral